This 650-nucleotide ribosomal RNA is filed under the name uncultured Sphingomonas sp. RNAcentral's name for it is "bacterial SSU rRNA". The stretch from base 1 to 390 matches the Rfam family "Bacterial small subunit ribosomal RNA", at positions 1005 to 1387 of the family's 1533-position model. Lineage: Bacteria; Pseudomonadati; Pseudomonadota; Alphaproteobacteria; Sphingomonadales; Sphingomonadaceae. The record is from RNAcentral.
GACUGAGCCUGGCCCCCNUGACGAUGCAUCUAGCUCUAUGGCUNAGUCAGCUCGUGUCGUGAGAUGUUCGGGUUAAGUCCCGCAACGAGCGCAACCCUUGUCCGCUGUUAGCCAUCACGUUAUGGUAGGGCACUCUGCGGAGACUUGCCGGAUGAUAAACCGGAGGAAGGUAGGGGAUGACGUCAAUGUCAGCAUGGCCUAUUAUGAUCUGGGGCUACACACGUGCUACAAUGGCCGAUACAAACCGUCGACGAUACCGCAAGGUGGAGCUAAUCGGAGAAAGUCGGUCUCAGUUCGGAUUGCAGGCUGCAACUCNCCUGCAUGAAGUAGGAAUCGCUAGUAAUCGCAGGAUCAGCACGCCGCGGUGAAUACGUUACCGGGCCUUGUACAAACCAACCCGUAANAUCGGGAUCCCCGGGACCCGUUCGGACUGGCANGAGNGNCUUGCAUGCAAGCUUUUCCCAUAAUNGUCGAGUACGGAAUUAAAGAAGCUAUGNGACGUCAAUCACUAGGUCAUAAGCCUGUAUUCCCUNGUAGUUGAAAAAUANUGUUAAUCCCAGCUUCAACAAAUUCCACACCAUCCAAGCAACUUAACCUGGAAAGACCCCGGAAACCGCACUUACANACGCUCGGUACACAUGACACCAUAG